This 419-nucleotide long non-coding RNA is filed under the name Mytilus galloprovincialis (Mediterranean mussel). Lineage: Eukaryota; Metazoa; Mollusca; Bivalvia; Mytilida; Mytilidae. The record is from RNAcentral.
UUGUGAGUUUUAAUUUGUCACACGUUUAAGACAUCCAGUGAUUUUUUUCUUGAAAUUUGUAUUUUAAAUUUGUAAUCAAUGUGUCUAGCUCAUGUUAUUGUUGAUAAAAUAUAUUGUUGCAUAACAUACAUGUAAAUGUAAAUCUUUUUUAUCAUAUAAUGUUGACAGAUAAUUUAAAAUAAAACACCAUCAAUUUAAAUUUAACAUUGAAUUGAGAGAAUUAUGUGAGUACGUGCUGUAUUCAAACUCACUACCUUAGUAAUGACAGGCUAGUGAUACAGUAGUUGAACUACUUAGACCUCUCACCUGCGAAUGGUAUCUAAUACCAUACUUCAAUUUAUCAGCAAUGUUAAAACAAUAUAUUCAAUGAAUAUCUUAUAUGAUAUAAGAAAACUGCUUCUAUUUCAAAAUAACUUAUA